UCCCAGGAGGCUGCCUUUCGCCCAUCGGGUGUUCCUCCGCAUAUCUACGCAUUUCACUGCUACACGCGGAAUUCCACCUCCCUCUGACACACUCUAGCCCGGUAGUUAAAAAUGCAGUUCCAAAGUUAAGCUCUGGGAUUUCACAUCUUUCUUUCCGAACCGCCUGCGCACGCUUUACGCCCAGUAAUUCCGAUUAACGCUUGCACCCUACGUAUUACCGCGGCUGCUGGCACGUAGUUAGCCGGUGCUUAUUCUGCAGGUACCGUCAGUUUCGCGGGGUAUUAACCCGCGACGUUUCUUUCCUGCCAAAAGUGCUUUACAACCCGAAGGCCUUCAUCGCACACGCGGGAUGGCUGGAUCAGGGUUUCCCCCAUUGUCCAAAAUUCCCCACUGCUGCCUCCCGUAGGAGUCUGGGCCGUGUCUCAGUCCCAGUGUGGCUGGUCGUCCUCUCAAACCAGCUACGGAUCGUCGCCUUGGUGAGCCGUUACCCCACCAACUAGCUAAUCCGAUAUCGGCCGCUCCAAUAGUGCAAGGUCUUGCGAUCCCCUGCUUUCCCCCGUAGGGCGUAUGCGGUAUUAGCUACGCUUUCGCGUAGUUAUCCCCCGCUACUGGGCACGUUCCGAUACAUUACUCACCCGUUCGCCACUCGCCACCAGACCGAAGUCCGUGCUGCCGUUCGACUUGCAUGUGUAAGGCAUCCCGCUAGCGUUCAAUCUGAGCCAGGAUCAAACCCUA
RNAcentral lists this ribosomal RNA (735 nucleotides) under uncultured bacterium. RNAcentral's name for it is "partial 16S ribosomal RNA". The record is from RNAcentral.